AUACGUAGGGUGCGAGCGUUGUCCGGAAUGAUUGGGCGUAAAGGGCGCGUAGGCGGCCUGUUAAGUCUGGAGUGAAAGUCCUGUUUUCAAGAUGGGAAUUGCUUUGGAUACUGAUGGGCUUGAGUGCAGGAGAGGUUAUCGGAAUUCCCGGUGUAGCGGUGAAAUGCGUAGAGAUCGGGAGGAACACCAGUGGCGAAGGCGGGUAACUGGACUGCAACUGACGUUGAGGCGCGAAAGUGUGGGGAGCAAACAGGAUUAGAUACCCUGGUAGUCCACACUGUAAACGAUGAAUGCUAGGUGUAAGAGGUAUCGACCCCUUUUGUGCCGGAGUUAACACAAUAAGCAUUCCGCCUGGGGAGUACGGCCGCAAGGUUGAAACUCAAAUGAAUUGACGGGG
This 397-nucleotide ribosomal RNA is filed under the name uncultured bacterium. RNAcentral's name for it is "partial 16S ribosomal RNA". It matches the Rfam family "Bacterial small subunit ribosomal RNA", at positions 523 to 918 of the family's 1533-position model. The record is from RNAcentral.